GUGCACCAGGCGCGAAUCUUCGGCAAUGGGGGAAACCCUGACCGAGCGACGCCGCGUGUGGGAUGAAGGCCCUUGGGUUGUAAACCACUGUCAGAGGGGAUGAAAUGCCGGAAAGUUAUCUCUCCGGUUUGACAUAGCCUCAGAGGAAGCACGGGCUAAGUUCGUGCCAGCAGCCGCAGUAAGACGAACUGUGCAAACGUUAUUCGGAAUCACUGGGCUUGAAGAGUGCGUAGGCGGUUUCGUAAGUAGGGUGUGAAAGCCCCCGGCUCAACCGGGGAAUUGCGUCCUAAACUGCGAGGCUGGAGUGAGGUAGGGUGUGUGGAACUUCCAGUGGAGCGGUGAAAUGUGUUGAUAUUGGAAGGAACGCCGGUGGCGAAAGCGACACACUGGACCUUGUCUGACGCUGAGGCACGAAAGCCAGGGGAGCAAAACGGGAUUAGAUACCCCUGUAGU
Molecule: ribosomal RNA, 453 nt
Filed under: uncultured organism
Description: bacterial SSU rRNA
Rfam family: Bacterial small subunit ribosomal RNA
Source: RNAcentral